Molecule: small RNA, 171 nt
Filed under: Bacillus sp. (in: firmicutes)
Lineage: Bacteria; Bacillati; Bacillota; Bacilli; Caryophanales; Bacillaceae
Description: Bacillus sp. Manganese sequence
Rfam family: Manganese Mn2+ riboswitch aptamer (yybP-ykoY)
About the family: This RNA was originally discovered in E. coli during a large scale screen and was named SraF. The family was later found to exist upstream of related families of protein genes in many bacteria, including the the yybP and ykoK genes in B. subtilis.
Source: RNAcentral
CAUUCCUUCAAAGGGGAGUAGCUGCAAGUUUAAACACUUGAACCAAAGUCGUCAUUACGUGGAUACUAUCCACCGGCUUUGUUUGGCAUGAUACAUACUAUGUCUAGCAAGACCUUUGCCUCGUUUUCAAAACCAAGGCAGAGGUCUUUUUUAUGUUCUCUCUUCCUCGCU